UACGAAGGGGGCUAGCGUUGUUCGGAAUUACUGGGCGUAAAGCGCGCGCAGGCGGUUCUUCAAGUCAGUGGGGAAAGCCCGGAGCUCAACUCCGGAACUGCCAUUGAAACUGUAGAACUUGAGGAUGAGAGAGGUGAGUGGAAUUCCCAGUGUAGAGGUGAAAUUCGUAGAUAUUGGGAAGAACACCGCUAGCGAAGGCGGCUCACUGGCUCAUUUCUGACGCUCAGGCGCGACAGCGUGGGGAUCAAACAGG
Molecule: ribosomal RNA, 253 nt
Filed under: uncultured bacterium
Lineage: Bacteria
Description: partial 16S ribosomal RNA
Rfam family: Bacterial small subunit ribosomal RNA
Source: RNAcentral